UUUUUUUUUUUUUUUUUUUCCAUUAGUGGAUGAGUUUUACUGUGCAAUUUUUUGCGUUAUUUAUUCUUUUGUUGGGACAAAGAAAGGUAAGAAUUUUGAUAUCAUGAAUAGUUAUGGGCAUUGGUCAAACAAAGAAUCAAUUGAAUCUCUUGUAAUUUGAUGUAGAACAUCCUGCAGGUCUUGGAAUUAGUGUUGAAACUUGAAGCUUUGUGAAGGCUAAAAUAAGCAGGAAUUUAGGUGGAGAAUUAGGGUUUGGAUAAAAUUGAGAAGCGAAUUUAAACAACAAGAGAAGAUUUGUGGACUGUGAACAGUAAAAUAAAAGGUUUAGGCCUAAACUUCCUUGGGCAUCACAGCCAAGGUUCCAUAGGCAUCAUGCCUAGGGUUGAAUUGCAUCACACAACUCGAAGCAGAAUUGCUAGAAUUCAUAUUGAUCAAAAACUUUGAAAAAAAGAAAAUUACAAACAUAGGUAUUUAUAGACUAAAAAAUAAUCCUAAACCUUGAAGGAUUUGGACUAUAUAAAGUAAUUCUUAACGUUUAAGUAAUCCCAAAAAAUAGUUCUUAACCAAUAAGGACUCUAAAUAAAGAUCCUAUAGAAAUCUAGAUCAUUCCAGAAAAUUUAAAAUUACAAAAUUAUCCUUGUGACUUAAAUAAAUGGCCAACAACUAAUAUUUUUGAAUAGACAUAUAGGUAAGCUGUAAAGAAUUAGAAAGUACUCUAUAAUUUUCCCAACAAACUCUAAAUUAAAACUGAACUAUGAUCCUAAGCUUCUUGUGUAGUUGAUCAUGAAAUUUCUUGAAUUCCUUGGCUGCAUCUAUAAUUCCAUUGUAGUCUCUAGUCGGUUAGGAUACUCGGCUCUUACCUGAGAGACUUGGGUUUGUUUCUUGGCAAAUUCCUGCUCAUUUUAGCUUAACAAAGCUUCAAAUUUUAAUGUCGAUUCUAAGACCUGCAGUCAUUCCUGCAUCACUUUGUCACGUUUUCUUAAAGUAACAUGGAUAUAGCUGCAGUCUCUUGUUUGUAUUGUACAUUAUAUUUCUAGUUGGUGUGUUGUUGUCAGUCGUCUACUAUCUGAAAUACAAGAUGUUAAAUGAAUUUCUCAUAUUAAAGGAUGGGCAAUAUUGUUAUCUUAACUGCUGUUAAGAAAAGUGCCAUUUUGAUUAUCUUGAUUAACACAAUUAAACAAAUUGGUUUUUGUAUUGAUUUUGAUUUCGUCAUAAAAACUUUAGAACUACAAAUACAUCUGUUUCAAACAACAUUUUGCAACAUCUGAAAUGGUGCUAUUUCAGAAAGCAGUUACAACCUCAAUAGCAAGCAGUCACUAUUUGAAGGAAAUUGAUUAUGCAUAAACUGUUAAUUCAUGAAGCUUGAUUUAUUCAUUUGUUCUGAUACACUAUUUAUCUUCUUGCUUCAAUCGAUUGUCUUCGAACUUGAAUCCAAAAACUCUUGUUAGGAUUGGAUUCAUCCUCCUUUUCAAUAGGCCUUUGAAUCCAAACCCCCCCACACCAACACCACCACCCCAUCCUCCCCCCCCCAAACAAAAGCCCUUGCCACCACCACCAAGUGGAAGCAAGAAGGGUUGUUCAUACGAUAGCAUUUUUUUUUAAGAUUGAAAUUUCAUUUUAUUUUUAUUCACUUUUAUCUUGAUUUUACUGAUGUAUUAAAUAAUAUGUUGAAAUGAGUAAAUCAAAUCAGUAUAGUACUUGAUAAUCAGUGUUUUCAUCUGAAGAACAUCUGGUUUUUCAGCAAAAAGCAUAGUACUUCCCAAGUAAUAUUUCAUAUAAUGAGGUAGUUUGAAAAAUGGACUAGUUUGAGAGUGUUUUCAUCUGCAAUUUUCCAUUUCUCCUUUUCUGAUGUCAGUAGUACUUGAGAAAGAUUUUAACCAUAGUCAUUCUAUAUUCCUUCUAGCAGAUGCCCAUUUAGGACCAAAAUCAUUUUUAACUUGCUAAAUACUAAUAUCUAAAAAAGUAAAAUUCUCUCUCACUUCCCACUCCAAUGACAGUGCGUCAAUUGUUUGCUAUUUCAGCACUUUCUACAGAAAAAUAAAAGUUGUUCUUUUGAUCCCAUUUGCAUUUGUUGAUUUGUUUGGAGUUUGAAAGGGAAGAAGCUUUAAGGAUGAGGAAAAGCUCCUAAUUGCUGUUGUGGAUUUUAUUGAUUCUCUCUCAACCAAUUGGUGAUUGUUAAUGAUAAAUUUACUUAUCCAAAUAAAUAAAUGGGAUAAAUAGGAUCACUUCUUAUAUUCUCGCUAUAGAUUUGCAUUUUAAUGUUCUUUGAGAAUUUAAUAUUUUAAGGUGAGACGAAACCUCGACCAAGCUAAGACAAUACUUGAGGCUCUGAUUAAGGUGAUCUCUUAUUGGAAAAUGCAAAAUAUCUCUGAAUUUUAAAUGAGUUUCAUUGUCAAAGGAAGCACUCAUUGGCUGCAAAUAAAUAUGCAUGCAGCGGGAGGAGAAAAAAAGAGAGGCGACGGAGACUGAAGUGAGCCUCCAAAGAAUCCAAAUGAAGUACAAGGUAUGUUUGUGUUACCACAUGCAUAAUCUGUGAUUCUUGUUCUUUUCUAUUUUCCCUUUUCUUUUAUUGGAUCAUCCUUUUAUUAUCCAAAAUUUUUGGUUGAACACUAUCCUAAAGAAGGGUAAAUGAUGAUCAUAUUUAGUUGCUAUUAGUAGUCAAGAAUCCUGCCCAUAGCUUUCUAUUUGUAUCUGGCUUUAUAAUGGUAUAUUACUCUAUUUCUUUCAUUUUAUUUUUUCAUAAUGAAUGGCAUGUGCAAGAUUUGUUAAUAAUGUUUAUAGAAAUGUGGGUAAGAGUUGUAUAGCACUAAAAAAUCUAAAACCAUUUUAUGAAAUGAAUUUGAAAAAAACUAAAAGGAAAUUCGUUAUAAAAAAAUUUGGAAAGGCUGGGAAGCACAUAUUCUCAGAGCCAGUGAUAGUCCUUCUGACUUCUUAUGUGCUUUAAAUUGUGUGCCUUCAGGCACAUGUAGCCUCAAGGCAUGGUGUCUGUAAUAGAUUUUAAUCUGCAUGGUCAAGGAUUCUUUUUCAUUGUUGAUAAUCUAAUUAUUCGUGAUUGAUGGUGGAUGUGGACUUCUUUUUUCUUAGCUAUUCUGUUUCUUGACUUAACAGUGCCGUUUAUUUGCCUAUUGUCUUGUUUGAAAUCUUCUAUUUGAUUGGGGUGUGGCAUUUUCUCAGCAUGAAACUGAGCUCCUUGAGUACAGCUUGGCCCUUCCUGGAUUCACGCCUUUGUCUUCCAAGUUUGCUUCAAGUGAAGAUGAAUUUGUGGAUUCAGAUGAUCUAGCAAGCAGCCGUCCACGUGCCCAAACUGCUGCAGUUCAAAAACCUCCUUUAACAGAUUCUAUCCUUACAGUGCCUGCAGGAAGCAUGAAGCAAGAGUUUAGGCGGCGACAUACACCAUAUGGUUGGCUUAAUAAAAUGGUAUGCACAAAGCUUUUUCAUUGUACAAUUUGCUAUAAAAUGGUACUCCAAACUCUCGAAAGAAUUAACUGCUGUAAAUUGCCAAUGGUUGACCUUGCCAAUUGCCAAUUGCCAUUGGCAUGUUGUAACCUAACUUCAUCGUCUUGGAAUAUCCAAUAUCAUAGGUGAAUUUUAUAUCUUGGAGUAAAUGCAGGAUCCUCUGGAGCCAGUUCUGUUGUUCACAAAGCCUCUUGUUCCAGAAAAGUUGGCAGCUGCAGGCAUUGUGCCACCAGUAGAUUCUUCAUCAAAGAAUUGUUCAUCUGCUCCUCCUUUCAGAUUUCAUGGAAGAAUUGGCCGAGGGGGACGGAUUGUAUUUGAUAGAUGGAACCCAUUUUUGCAAACUUCAAUAGAACUUGGCAAUUCUUUUUACUUCCCGCCAAGACCUCGCCCUUCAGCAUAUAAUUGAUAUUGUUACUUGCAUUGUCUUGUUGCUGUGGCUGAUGAUAAUCUGGAAAUAGGCUCAGAUGAUAUUUAUUGUAAUUAUUCAAUAUAAAUCAAGGAAUUUUUUAGGGAUUGCAAAUGCUAUGCUAGGCACUGUGGCAGGUAUUUUACUCUGGCAGCGAAGCCGCAAGCCACAUCUCAUGUAACGGUGUCUUCCUUAGCUCAUGUAUGUCAGAAGAGCAUGCUUGUGCUCUCUCCUUUGCUCAUAAUUAUUAGAAAAGCAUGGUUAUGUUUCUCUUCGGGUAGGCGCUUAUUUUAAUAUAAUGAGGCUCUUAGAUUGACCGAUACAGAUGAGGCCUUGGCUUUGAUUGAUCUCUUUUCAAGAGUGCUAAAUUCUACUAAUCGGCAUUUUGAACCGCUUUCUCUCUAUUGUGAAAUAUGCAUGGAUUCGAAUUGCCAUAAAAUUUUAA
Molecule: unclassified non-coding RNA, 4307 nt
Filed under: Hevea brasiliensis (rubber tree)
Lineage: Eukaryota; Viridiplantae; Streptophyta; Magnoliopsida; Malpighiales; Euphorbiaceae
Source: RNAcentral